Molecule: ribosomal RNA, 397 nt
Filed under: uncultured bacterium
Lineage: Bacteria
Description: partial 16S ribosomal RNA
Rfam family: Bacterial small subunit ribosomal RNA
Source: RNAcentral
AUACGUAGGGGGCGAGCGUUGUCCGGAAUGAUUGGGCGUAAAGGGCGCGUAGGCGGCCCGGUAAGUCUGGAGUGAAAGUCCUGUUUUUAAGAUGGGAAUUGCUUUGGAUACUGUCGGGCUUGAGUGCAGGAGAGGUAAGUGGAAUUCCCAGUGUAGCGGUGAAAUGCGUAGAGAUUGGGAGGAACACCGGUGGCGAAGGCGACUUACUGGACUGUAACUGAAGCUGAGGCGCGAAAGUGUGGGGAGCAAACAGGAUUAGAUACCCUGGUAGUCCACACUGUAAACGAUGAAUGCUAGGUGUAGGGGGUAUCGACCCCUUCUGUGCCGCAGUCAACACAAUAAGCAUUCCGCCUGGGGAGUACGGCCGCAAGGUUGAAACUCAAAUGAAUUGGCGGGG